UACGGAGGAUGCGAGCGUUAUCCGGAUUUAUUGGGUUUAAAGGGUGCGCAGGCGGCACAGCAAGCCGGCGGUCAAAUCGCGGGGCUCAACCCCGCCCAGCCGUCGGAACUGCCGGGCUAGAGUGGGCGAGAAGUGCGCGGAAUGCGUGGUGUAGCGGUGAAAUGCAUAGAUAUCACGCAGAACUCCGAUUGCGAAGGCAGCGCACCGGCGCCCUACUGACGCUCAGGCACGAAAGCGUGGGUAUCGAACAGG
This 252-nucleotide ribosomal RNA is filed under the name uncultured bacterium. Its description in RNAcentral is "partial 16S ribosomal RNA". It matches the Rfam family "Bacterial small subunit ribosomal RNA", at positions 524 to 776 of the family's 1533-position model. The record is from RNAcentral.